RNAcentral lists this unclassified non-coding RNA (509 nucleotides) under Artemisia potentilloides. RNAcentral describes it as "partial external transcribed spacer". Lineage: Eukaryota; Viridiplantae; Streptophyta; Magnoliopsida; Asterales; Asteraceae. The record is from RNAcentral.
UCCUGAUUUUCCCAUCGUUCGGGGCAUUCUGGGGCUGUUUUGGCUAUUGGUUGCUUGUUUGGUCUUGAUUUGAACGGGUGGCUUCUAGCCUGGUGGCUUCGGGGAUGUUGACCGUAAAGGUGGAUGAGUGGUUUUUGGUUUGUUACGUGUGGUUGGCUGCGGCGUUUGCAACAACUUCCAUGCUUUCAGACCUCUUCAUUUGUGCGGCAAGGCUUGUAUCGCCUAGAGCGUAUUGUGGGUUUUCUGUGUUGAAUACCUAAUCAAUGGUAUCGGUUGGAUUGAUCAAUGUUUCAUUUCGUCUGUCGUCGCACUCGCGGCGUGAGAUGAACCUUGAUGUGGUCUCUUUGUUCCACCUCGUUGAAGCGCAUGCUUUGACGUUGUGGCGCAUUGAGCAUUGCUUGGUCUCUUGUAUGCGGAACAUGUAGCGGGCAUGAAUCUCAUGAUUCUCGUUUGCCCUMAUAUUAGCGUAACGCUUCUCUUACACGACUUGCUCCACGUUUUAGCUCGUA